GAGAAUAGUGACCCUUGCCCUCU
Molecule: non-coding RNA, 23 nt
Filed under: Arabidopsis thaliana (thale cress)
Lineage: Eukaryota; Viridiplantae; Streptophyta; Magnoliopsida; Brassicales; Brassicaceae
Source: RNAcentral